AACGAACGCUGGCGGCAUGCCUAACACAUGCAAGUCGAACGAGACCUUCGGGUCUAGUUGCGCACGGGGGCGUAACGCGUGGGAACCUGCCCUUACGUUCGGCAUAACUCCCCGACAGGGGUGCUUAUACCGGCUAAUGUCUUCGGACCAAAGAUUGCUCGCCUUUGGAUGGGCCCGAGUUGGAUUAGCUAGUUGGUAGGGUAAAAGCCUACCAAGGCGACGAUCCAUAGCUGGUCUGAGAGGAUGAUCAGCCACACUGGGACUGAGACACGGCCCAGACUCCUACGGGAGGCAGCAGUGGGGAAUAUUGGACAGUGGGCUAAAGUGUGAUCCAGCAAUGCCGCGGGAGUGAUGAAGGCCUUAGGGUUGGAAAGCGCUGUUACCCGGGAUGAUAAUGACAGUACCGGGAGAAUAAGCUCCGGCUAACUCCGUG
Molecule: ribosomal RNA, 433 nt
Filed under: uncultured bacterium
Lineage: Bacteria
Description: partial 16S ribosomal RNA
Rfam family: Bacterial small subunit ribosomal RNA
Source: RNAcentral